This 1348-nucleotide long non-coding RNA is filed under the name Heterocephalus glaber (naked mole-rat). Its description in RNAcentral is "lncRNA (ENSHGLG00100040242.1)". Lineage: Eukaryota; Metazoa; Chordata; Mammalia; Rodentia; Bathyergidae. The record is from RNAcentral.
CUAUGUCAGGCCCAUUACUAACCAAAACGUCACAGGUGGUCAGUCCAUGGCUGUGCAGGUAUUUAUACUGUGGAUUUUUUUUUUCUUCUUGUGGUGGCAGGAAUUGAACCCACCGAGCCACAUUCCCAGCUACUUUUAAAUCUUUUUACUUUGAGACAGAAUCUUGCUGAGUUGCCCAGGCUGGCUUCAAACUUGCCAUCUUCCUGCCUCAGCUCUGUAUCGCAGGCCUUUAAACAUGCAAAUCACCGCCACACUCUAGCUGAGCACGGCCCCUGCCCCCUGCCUCCCGUCCUCCAUGCUGCGUCCCCUUUGCACAGCCCACGACCCUUGGGUCACAGCGCUGCCCCACCUCAUCUCAGAGAGCCCUGGGGACUCUAUCACCCUCGGGACUCUAUCGCCCUCCCUGCCUCUCCCCUCCUGGUCCCCCGUGUGUCCUUCCAGCCCUUGCUACUUGGCAACACAAUAUCUUACUUUCUUCUUCAUAGUUUCUCUUCCUGGCUGGUGACUUGCUCACCAGUCCCUGCACCCAGAGCCCGCUGUACCAAGCCUGCUCCCUGAGGGGUCAGUGUUGUCAAGCCCGGGUCAGCCCUGGGGUACAAGCCCAGGCUGCCCUCGAACUCACCAAAAUCCUCCUGUCUCAGCCUUCUGAGUGCUGAGAUCACAGCAUCUUCCUACUGCAGAUGGGGAAAUGGAGGCAUGAAGAGAGGAAAGUCAAAGCGUGAGGUCACACAGCUCCACACUGGCAGUGCCAGGCUGUUUGCCACACUUUCCUUGGCCAGCACCAAAGGGCAGCAUCUUCUGCAGUGAGAAGCAGGAUCUGAAUCAUUGCCUCUUGGAAGUUGCAAAGCAUUCCUCAUCGAACUGCAGCACAAGAAACUGAAAACCGGAGUGCUGUGUAAUCCCAGCACUUGGGAGGCUGAGGCAGGAGGAUCGCCAUGCAUUCAAGGCCAACCUGGGCUACAUAAUGAACUCAAGGCCAGCCUGCACUGCAUGGCAAGACCUUGUCUAAUUAGUAAAUAAAUACAUAGAUAAAAAGUUGCAACCCAGCCAAAGCAGGGCUACGGACAAGUACUAGGGAAUCUCGGUCAUCAUGUUUUGUCUCUGAAAUGUCUGUGGCUGGGAUCUCCCUGCAUGGCCUGAGAUCUCUGCUGAGGCCCAGGCAGCAGAGCCUGGGGUUGGAGGAGGCUGUGAGCCCCAGAAGCCCCAACGAGAAGGGCGUUAGGCUGAACCCAAAGUUCCCCCCGAAGGGACCUGCGGCUCCUCUUAGGGCCCCCCGCCCUGCAAGUCCCCAGUGAGAGUCCAAGCCUGCAGCCCGGCCGGGAGUGCUGGGACAGGGCAGCCACCUGCC